Perca fluviatilis (European perch) is the source of this 305-nucleotide long non-coding RNA. RefSeq lists it as uncharacterized. The record is from RefSeq and is a predicted model, not a curated record. The transcript is spliced from 4 exons. NCBI's taxonomy places the organism in Eukaryota, Metazoa, Chordata, Actinopteri, Perciformes, Percidae.
UGUAUCGUCAAGAAUUGCUUGAAAUAAAAAAUUCAUCUUCACAGAGAUACCUCAGAUAAAAGAAAUGCUCAAUAGCUCCAUGCACCUCGGCAGUCCAGGGUCUCUCCCCAGCCCUUCAAACCCUGUUCAAAUAGAAGAAAUUGUCCCGGGUUCAGGUGUUUACGUACCGCGAAGUGUGUGGCGCUCUGCUUGCCAGGCAUCCAGUGGGACUUCAAUGGCAAGGAUUUUGCUGCUUGGGGUGUUUGACAUUGAAACACUCGUCAAAAGUAAUUUGAGAGGAGGGGAAUCCAAGGUUUCAAAGGGGG